ACUCCUACGGGAGGCAGCAGUAGGGAAUCUUCCACAAUGGACGAAAGUCUGAUGGAGCAACGCCGCGUGAGUGAAGAAGGUUUUCGGAUCGUAAAACUCUAUUGUAAGGGAAGAACACGUACGAGAGUAACUGCUCGUACCUUGACGGUACCUUAUUAGAAAGCCACGGCUAACUACGUGCCAGCAGCCGCGGUAAUACGUAGGUGGCAAGCGUUGUUCGGAAUUAUUGGGCGUAAAGCGCGCGCAGGCGGUUCUUUAAGUCUGAUGUGAAAGCCCACGGCUCAACCGUGGAGGGUCAUUGGAAACUGGAGAACUUGAGUACAGAAGAGGAAAGCGGAAUUCCACGUGUAGCGGUGAAAUGCGUAGAGAUGUGGAGGAACACCAGUGGCGAAGGCGGCUUUCUGGUCUGUAACUGACGCUGAGGCGCGAAAGCGUGGGGAGCAAAC
This 446-nucleotide ribosomal RNA is filed under the name uncultured bacterium. RNAcentral describes it as "bacterial SSU rRNA". It matches the Rfam family "Bacterial small subunit ribosomal RNA", at positions 335 to 773 of the family's 1533-position model. The record is from RNAcentral.